This 430-nucleotide RNase P RNA is filed under the name Novosphingobium chloroacetimidivorans. RNAcentral's name for it is "Bacterial RNase P class A". It matches the Rfam family "Bacterial RNase P class A". Rfam says of the family: Ribonuclease P (RNase P) is a ubiquitous endoribonuclease, found in archaea, bacteria and eukarya as well as chloroplasts and mitochondria. Its best characterised activity is the generation of mature 5'-ends of tRNAs by cleaving the 5'-leader elements of precursor-tRNAs. Cellular RNase Ps are ribonucleoproteins. The record is from Rfam by way of RNAcentral. Lineage: Bacteria; Pseudomonadati; Pseudomonadota; Alphaproteobacteria; Sphingomonadales; Sphingomonadaceae.
CCGGGGAGCCGGGCAGCCGCGUCACCCCGUUUGAGGUGCCGAGGAAAGUCCGGGCUCCACGAAACAAGGGUGGCGGGUAACGCCCGCCGGGCGAGUGGUUCUUCGGAACUGCGAAGCUUAGGGAAAGUGCCACAGAGAGCAGACCGCCAAGGCUUUUCAAAGCCAAGGUAAGGGUGAAAGGGUGCGGCAAGAGCGCACCGCGCUUCCGGUAACGGCAAGCGGCAUGGCAAACCCCACCCGGAGCAAGACCGAAUAGGGGCUGCGCGCCGAGGCUUCUGGCCAAAGGCGGGUCUGUUUCGGACCCGACAGCCCGGGUUGGUCGCUGGAGCGGUGCAGCGAUGCGCCGCGUAAGAGGAAUGGCUGCCCAUGCGGGCUGGGUCCACGGAUACCGACCGCAAGACAGAACCCGGCUUACAGGCUCCCCGGCGUA